This 502-nucleotide unclassified non-coding RNA is filed under the name Hevea brasiliensis (rubber tree). Lineage: Eukaryota; Viridiplantae; Streptophyta; Magnoliopsida; Malpighiales; Euphorbiaceae. The record is from RNAcentral.
GAGAAACUUGAUGCCUAUGAGUCUGCAGUUGGCGAUGCAAAUGUGAAGGCUCCUCCUCGCAUUGAAGUGUUCCCUCCAGCCUUCAAAACAAUACCUCGAAAUCCCAUCAUUCUUGACCUUGCCUAUAAUAAUAUUGAUUUCCCAUCACUAGAGAACAGGAUGAAGAAGGACAAGAAAGGCUUCAUAAGUAGGCUUUGGCGAUGAGUUUUAUAGGAGGCGGCAAUAACUUAAAAAACUAGGAAAAUAAAAAAGCAACAGGAAUUCUGAGAUGAGGGAGAAAUGGGGAGAACCAGAAGCUUUGGAGCUUUUCAGAUUAAUAUAAUUGGUUGGCUCUCGGCAUUUUUAUGUGGUAUGGCUGGAAUGCGUUCUACGAAAUUGUUGUAGUCUUGCAGUCUGCAGGGGGUUGGAGAAUUUGAGGAUUGGUGAGAAACAAGACGCAACAUUAGGCUUUUGCUUUGGAGAGCGCUAGAGUGAUGGCUAAAAGCGGCAAGGGAAAGGGGCG